UAUCCAAAAAGCUGUUGAGAGUUCAGAGAAGCAACAGCAGAGAUACCCCAGGCCAAUGAUUUAUAGCACCUUUAUGGCUCUUUUGGCUGCUUGAAGCUCUUUCAAGGCAGUGGGUGUCAGUGAGUGCAGGGAGUGCAGACCACAUCUGAUGACACCAUUGGAGGGGUGAUGCCACAAUGACUUUCACACUUCUCAAAUCCCUCUAGUGACACCGCUGCACAAGGCACCUCAUGGUUAUUCAAGCCAAGAAAAGGGUGUUAAGAGGCACUUCCCUUGGGGAAGAGUGAGGGUUAGUUACAUUAAAACCUGAGUACAAUGGACAACCUCUGGAAGUAGUCUUCCAUCACGUGAUGGUCUCCGUGGGACUCUGUUUUUAAAGUGUCUAGAAAUGGGGGCCAGAUGCUUAAGAGAUGGGCAGAUGGAUAAAAGGAAAGAUGGAAGAAUUCAUCUGACACACAGAGUGAAAAUUGGAGAGUACUGUUAAUCUCUUUGCCUUUUUAUUGAAAUGUAAACAGAGCUGAAGAUUAAAAAAAAACCAUACUCAUAUACCAAUCAGAGGCUCAAGAUUCAAAUGUAGUGAUGGUAUGGUACCUUGGAUGAGUGAGAGAUUCACUUCAAUAAAAAUCUGAGAUGCAAUCCCUCCUCCCUUUCUAUGCAUGCAACUUUGCUCCUAUGUCUUUGAUUUCAGUGAUGGAUUAAAGUUAAAUAGAGUCCAGAUCUUCCUACAUUAUAUUGUUCAGACAUCUCUGCCCACUGGCCCUUCCUCCCAGAAGGGAUGUUUGUUUUUCUCCUGCUCCAAGUCCUUGAUCUUCUUUCCAAGUGAGGUAAUUCAGCCAGUCCUAAGGCUGCCCUGAGGCUGGCUGGCUCCAUGCCAAUCAAUUAUGCGCUCUGCCACCAAUACCUAUUUUUCUGUCUCUGAUUUUCUGCUUCCUUUGAAUCCCUCUGUUCCAAUUCCCAGUGUAGGGCCUGACCCAUAAAGAUCCUGGCUUGGUUAAUCACCCCCUUCUCCUUCUGUUUCUAAUGGGAACAAAACUGGUGUUGCAUUAGCAUCCUUUUGCACAGAGAGAGAGGGAAUAGACGGACUUCUAGAUUUUACAGUUUUUGGCUUAAAAGACCUACAUACUCCCCCAUCUUUAAUGUGUUACUUUAAAAAAAAACUUCACCUAGAAUCCUUAG
Anolis carolinensis (green anole) is the source of this 1176-nucleotide long non-coding RNA. RefSeq lists it as uncharacterized. The record is from RefSeq and is a predicted model, not a curated record. The transcript has 3 exons. NCBI's taxonomy places the organism in Eukaryota, Metazoa, Chordata, Lepidosauria, Squamata, Anolidae.